CAGACUUGUGCUCUUCCGAUCUGAAUGGUCUCAGAACUAUUUGUGUCAAUUGGCCAUUUAAGUUUAAUAGUAAAAGACUGGUUAAUGAUAACAAUGCAUUGUAAAACCUUCAGAAGGAAAG
Molecule: long non-coding RNA, 121 nt
Organism: Leopardus geoffroyi (Geoffroy's cat)
Lineage: Eukaryota; Metazoa; Chordata; Mammalia; Carnivora; Felidae
Exons: 4
Source: RefSeq, a predicted model, not a curated record